UACAGCUAUACCAUGUUGAAACACCAGUUCUCGUAUGAUAACCGUAGUUAAGCAACGUUGAGCCUGACCACUACCUAGAUAAGUGACUGCUUCGGAAUACCAGGUGCU
Molecule: non-coding RNA, 108 nt
Organism: Acanthosepion pharaonis
Lineage: Eukaryota; Metazoa; Mollusca; Cephalopoda; Sepiida; Sepiidae
Source: the annotation of a GenBank genome assembly